GACGAACGCUGGCGGCGUGCUUAACACAUGCAAGUCGAACGGAAAGGCCCCCUUUGGGGGUACUCGAGUGGCGAACGGGGGAGUAACACGUGAGUAACCUACCCUUGACUUUGGGAUAACUUCAGGAAACUGGGGCUAAUACCGGAUAGGAGCUCCUGCUGCAUGGGGGGGGUUGGAAAGUUUCGGCGGUUGGGGAUGGACUCGCGGCUUAUCAGCUUGUUGGUGGGGUAGUGGCUCACCAAGGCUCUGACGGGUAGCCGGCCUGAGAGGGUGACCGGCCACAUUGGGACUGAGAGACGGCCCAGACGCCUACGGGAGGCAGCAGUGGGGAAUAUUGCACAAUGGGCGGAAGCCUGAUGCAGCAACGCCGCGUGCGGGAUGACGGCCUUCGGGUUGUAAACCGCUUUCGCCUGUGACGAAGCGUGAGUGACGGUAAUGGGUAAAGAAGCACCGGCUAACUACGUG
Molecule: ribosomal RNA, 465 nt
Filed under: uncultured bacterium
Lineage: Bacteria
Description: partial 16S ribosomal RNA
Rfam family: Bacterial small subunit ribosomal RNA
Source: RNAcentral